Molecule: ribosomal RNA, 744 nt
Filed under: uncultured bacterium
Lineage: Bacteria
Description: bacterial SSU rRNA
Rfam family: Bacterial small subunit ribosomal RNA
Source: RNAcentral
CUGUUCGGUGUUGGCGUUGAUUGUAAGCGGGGAAACGGUGUUGGACUAGUCAAGGGGCUGAUUGCAGCAAACUGCAAGUUGUUUGAGGGUAGAGGGAGCGAGGGGCGAGUAUUGUCAGAAGCGUGGGCUGAUGUGUUUGGGGAGAAAAAGGGGACCCCCCUAAAUACCGAAUAACGUAUCAUGAACUACAAACGGGACCUUGUGGACUCGUGCUGCCGGAUGUGCUCCAAGGGGAUUUCCACCACACUGGGGUAACGUACUACCGGAGCNAAGAUCCCUACCUGGUCUGAGAGGAUGACCAAGUACACUGUAUCUGACACACAUACCUACUCCAACCGUGGGCAUACUUGUUUCAUAUUGCACAAUGGGCGCAAGCCUGAUGCAGCCAUGCCGCGUGUAUGAAGAAGGCCUUCGGGUUGUAAAGUACUUUCAGCGGGGAGGAAGGGAGUAAAGUUAAUACCUUUGCUCAUUGACGUUACCCGCAAAAAAAGCACCGGCUAACUCCGUGCCAGCAGCCGCGGUAUACGGAGGGUGCAAGCGUUAAUCGGAAUUACUGGGCGAAAAGCGCACGCAGGCGGUUGUUAAGUCAAAUGUGAAAUCCCCGGGCUCACCUGGGAACUGCUCUGAUCUUGGCAAGCUCCGAGUCUCGCAAAGGGGGUAGAAUUUCAUGGGUAGCCGUGAAAUGCGUAGAGAUCUGGAGAAUACCGUUGGUGAAAGUCGCCCCCCUGGUCGAAAAAUGACUGU